GCCACCACUCCUGGUGGUGAACAUUUGCAGAGCAGGUUUUGUACUGGGUUUGGGAAAUGAAAGUGUUCUGCCUACAUGUAUGCUGCGGGUCAGAAGAGGGCACCAGAUCUCAUAAAUAGUUGGAGCCACCAAGUGGUUUCUGGGAUUUGAACUCAGGACCUCUGGAAGAGCAGUCAGUGCUCUUAACCACUGAGCCAUCUCUCCAGCCUGACAAGUUUCUGUCAUGUAUUAGCACCUAGCUUCAACCUUGACACUGUUCUGGGAAGAAAUGGUUACUUUGUAUGCAUGAUUUGGACUUUCAUGUUCAAAAUGCAGUUGUUUUUUUAGAGGUAA
This is a long non-coding RNA of Rattus rattus (black rat), 333 nucleotides long. RefSeq lists it as uncharacterized. Lineage: Eukaryota; Metazoa; Chordata; Mammalia; Rodentia; Muridae. The transcript is spliced from 2 exons. The record is from RefSeq and is a predicted model, not a curated record.